This 253-nucleotide ribosomal RNA is filed under the name uncultured bacterium. RNAcentral's name for it is "partial 16S ribosomal RNA". It matches the Rfam family "Bacterial small subunit ribosomal RNA", at positions 524 to 776 of the family's 1533-position model. The record is from RNAcentral.
UACGUAGGGUGCAAGCGUUGUCCGGAAUUAUUGGGCGUAAAGAGCUCGUAGGCGGUUUGUCGCGUCGAAUGUGAAAACCCGGGGCUCAACCCCGGGCCUGCAUUCGAUACGGGCAGACUAGAGUUCGGUAGGGGAGUCUGGAAUUCCUGGUGUAGCGGUGAAAUGCGCAGAUAUCAGAAGGAACACCGGUGGCGAAGGCGGUGGUCUGGGCCGGCACUGACGCUGAGGAGCGAAAGCGUGGGGAGCGAACAGG